Molecule: long non-coding RNA, 2080 nt
Filed under: Zostera marina
Lineage: Eukaryota; Viridiplantae; Streptophyta; Magnoliopsida; Alismatales; Zosteraceae
Description: long non-coding RNA (ZMAR_LNC003102)
Source: RNAcentral
GUAAGUCUAAUCAUAUUUUCUUGAUAUUGGUAAAAAAUUAAUAAAUUAUAAAGUUAAAAUUGUAAUGGAUAGAUGGUCGGUCGGUUGUAGUGUCAUGCGAUUUUUAUAGAAUAAUAAAUGCGUUAGAUUUUUACAGAUUCAUUUAAACAGAUUUUUACACAUUUUUACAGAGUAUUAAAGGGUAUUAAAUAGUCAGAGUAAUCCGAAUAUUAAACCUGAUAUUAACGUCGAAUCUUUACCUUGUUUUCACAGGAUUUUCACGAGAUUUGCACCGUUUUUAAGGAGAUGGGUCAGGAUUACUAACAUCUGGUUACGAUGGCACCUGCAGAACCCUAUUUGAUGGGUCUCAUGUAGUCAUGAUCAGUAUCCAUUUUCAGAUGGGAAUCCUGCAGAACAUCGAUCAGAUUGUUACGACGGCAAAUAACAAAAGAGUAAUAGAGUAAACGAUGAAGAAUAAGAUGUAGAGGCCGACUAAAAAUUUAUACCAUUGUUAUCGGAAGAAAAAGAUGUAGAUGGUGACUAAAAAUUUAAACCAAAUUAAUCGACAGUCUAACCUUGGUAAACCUACAAAAGUUAAACCACGCUCAGAUUUUUCCACCUUCUUACAUCCUCCGAAAAAGCUGCAAAAGGAGACAAGAAUGAUUUCGAUUCGACGUGCGCAGACUUGCUCUCGAUAGAUGAUUGACGUAUGCAGAGUGCGACAGUGAAAAGACUAGACCUGAAAAUAUUAUUCUAAUACAAUAAAUUUAAUUUAUAAAAGCCCGUUGUCAAAUUUACCAAUACUUUCACAUAACGUAUUUCAGACAUUGUCUUAAACUAAAUGUAACAAAUUUAUUACUAUAGAUUUGACCGUUGAUUAAUUAUGCACCCAAAUUUUUUACCAUAAUAAGAUUUUAAAAAGUCGGUGGAAUUCUAGAAAUUCGAAAUACCGAAAUCGAAUUACUGAAACGAUUUCAGGAUAAUUUUUCGAUAAUCCAAAUCUAUAUAAUUAAUGUGAAAUUAUAAAGUGAUGGGUAUUAAUGGAAGAAUAAUAUAACCGAAUAGUAUAAACCGAAUAGUAUCUACUUUCGGAUAUACUAACCGAAUUAGAUAUAUCCGAAUAAUUAUCCGGUUAUAUCCAGAUAAAAUAUUUCGGAUAUAUAUUGGGUUCUAAUUUAUUUGGAUAAAUCCCUACCGAUUUUAUUAUGGUCAAUCUUUCCCGAUCUACUCCAAAAUCCCUACCACCCGGUCUACGCAGGCGACAGGAUAACCAGACCGGCCCGCCGCGUUCUGGAUUUACCUAAAUAGUCAAAGAAGUCAUCCCUCGAUAAUCUGUAAAUUGAUAAUCAAUAGGUAUUUUUAAUCAUUAAAUAAAAUAAAGUAAUCGGAUUGCAGGCAGCCUGUAUAAUUUUCCAAAACAAUCUACAUGUAAUGAAUAUCCGUCAAAAGUUCUUGGAGAACAUCAUUAAACGAAAGAAACGGAGGAAUAAAACCUAGAAUCUCGUAGACGAAAUCUACCAUACAGCUGUGUGUUAAAAUAAACUGUUGCCUAACACCUAACGAAAAACUCGAGAACAUAAACCCAAAAUAAUCCCUUACCUCCGCUUUUAUAUUCUCCAAAGAAAAUAAGGUAUGUCUCCGGUGAUGUUGUUCUUCCACUUCGCCCAUGACGGAAUCAUUUGGAAUGGGUAAUCGGCAACAUGAUUUACAAAUCAUACAGGUUUUGAGAUAUACGAGAUUGCCUGGUGGAGUUGAUAUAUGAGACUGCCUGGUGGAGUUGAUAUACGAGACUGCUUGGUGGAGUUGAUAUACGAGACUUCAUGGUACAAGACCAACGAAGAAUUUCGAAAUUAGGGAUGAAUUGAAAAUAGGGUUAUGCAGUCUGUAUAUGAUUUUGGUUAAAAUUCAUUUCCUCAUAAAUGGGUUAUAAUUGAUUGACCGAUUAAUGCAUCUCACCCGAUUAUUUAUGUUUGAGGGUUUAUUUGUCAUUACCUAUUUGCCUCCCAAUGUCGAUACUACGAGGUAUUAAAAUCUGCAAGAACCCCUUCCAUUAUUAAUUUGCGAUAACCCAUUUCGAUUGUAAAAAGAACCCAUUCCGAUU